Roseomonas sp. is the source of this 95-nucleotide regulatory RNA element. It matches the Rfam family "terC RNA". The record is from Rfam. NCBI's taxonomy places the organism in Bacteria, Pseudomonadati, Pseudomonadota, Alphaproteobacteria, Acetobacterales, Roseomonadaceae.
UUCUUGAUCCGGGCCCCUCUGGCGACCCGGCGAUGACCUGAGCCUGCCUGCAGGGCCGGCUCGGGUGAUCGCUCUCGUGAUGUCGGAUCGACUUC